This is a non-coding RNA of Macaca mulatta (Rhesus monkey), 1149 nucleotides long. The record is from RefSeq and is a predicted model, not a curated record. Lineage: Eukaryota; Metazoa; Chordata; Mammalia; Primates; Cercopithecidae.
GAAGCAUGCCUUCUUAUCAAACAGGUGCAUGGCCCCCUUGCGGGGGGGGUCACCCAUCACCUGCAUCCCCGUGUGUCACGGUGUUGCCUCACACCAUUAACGCAUCAAAAUGGAAAAGGAAAUGUAAGCAGUGUUUGCUGUCCAAAGUUCACGUCAACAACUCCUUAUUAUGAAGGCACUUCUGAGCCUUUCCUCCUGCAUCUGGGAGCUGCCAGCAACCCAGUUCCAGGAGAGAAAAUAGCUCGACACCUCCUGCAGCCCAUGGAGUCCUCUUGUUGGGACAAGGUCCCCCCAGGAGAGAGGAGCCCCCAGCAGGGUCAACACUGGAAGUCCUGGGGGUGGGUGGUGCUGGGGAGGCCAUGCGGGGAGGGCUGUUCCCUGUUCCCUUCCCCUCAGGAGACAGCUGGCCCAAGGUGACACAGGACCGGAUGGGAUUUCAGGGUCAGGGACCACGGAGCCCGGGGCUGUGGACCACACCAGCCCAAAGCCACUGCAUGCCCCAGACCGGGGCUGUGGACCACACCAGCCCACGGCCACUGUAUGCCCCAGACCAACACGAGAAGAGUGCAGACCAACAACAUCUUCGUCUACGUUGGGGCACUGCGUAUCCCCUGUGGGAAAGACAACACUGGCUGCUGACCGAACUCCAUCGGCCUCUUCCUCCGUCCUGAGGGCAUCUUCCUCCAUCCUGACAGCAGCCUGGGCUUACCUCAGUCCCAGGGCGGGGGAGGAGGACGCACUGUGCACCCUCCCAGCUCUCCUCCGCCCCUUCCCUCAGGCUGGCCCAAGAGCAGCCUGGACAGUCAGGUGCUGGGGACACCGAGCUGCCCCUCCUCGGCCCACAACCUCAGGCCACCUGUCUCAUUUGUGACUGAGAAACAGAGCUGCAGCUGCAGGCGGGAGGCGGGACACGCUGGGAUCUACCCAUGGCCAGGCCGAGCUGCUCUGAUCACUCAAGCUUCACUUUCAUCACUUGCUCUACCAAAUAAACUAGAAUAAAAUAUGCCACUUCCUCCUUUGCACACACUCCCAAGCCUCCCAUCCCACUUCCCGGCGCUGACCCCAUAAGAACACUUUCUGUGCCUUUCCAGGUAUUUUCUAUCCUCCUCAAGCACAGAACCACAUUCAGAGUGAAUUUUUUUUUUUUUU